CCUGCCCUGUGACUAUAUGUUUAACGGCCGCGGUAUCUUGACCGUGCGAAGGUAGCGCAAUCACUUGUCUUUUAAAUGGAGACCCGUAUGAAUGGCAUAACGAGGGCUUAGCUGUCUCCUUUUUCAAGUCAAUGAAAUUGAUCUUCCCGUGCAGAAGCGGGAAUAAGACCAUAAGACGAGAAGACCCUAUGGAGCUUUAGACACCAAAGCAGCUCAAUGUUAAACACCCCUAAAUAAAGGGCCAAACAAAAUGAAACCUGCCCUAAUGUCUUUGGUUGGGGCGACCGCGGGGAAACAAAAAACCCCCAUGUGGAAUGGGAACACCCUCUCCUAAAACAAAGAGCUCCCGCUCUAAUGAACAGAACUUUCUGACCAAUCAGAUCCGGCAACGCCGAUCAACGGACCGAGUUACCCUAGGGAUAACAGCGCAAUCCCCUUUUAGAGCCCAUAUCGACAAGGGGGUUUACGACCUCGAUGUUGGAUCAGGACAUCCUAAUGGUGCAGCC
This 506-nucleotide ribosomal RNA is filed under the name Atypichthys strigatus (Australian mado). Its description in RNAcentral is "partial large subunit ribosomal RNA". It matches the Rfam family "Bacterial large subunit ribosomal RNA", at positions 1858 to 2560 of the family's 2925-position model. The record is from RNAcentral. Lineage: Eukaryota; Metazoa; Chordata; Actinopteri; Centrarchiformes; Kyphosidae.